UGGCACAGUUACUGGAGCUAUCUGAAUUUCUAUGGAUAUCUCUACCCAGCAUUUAAUUCUGUGGUUAAGGGAGUGUCGGCUGCUGGGUGGAUUCCUAAGCACAGUUUUACACACUCACCAGUUUUGGCUAGGAGCUUGUACUCAGUACUGUGCAUUACUGGCCUGGAUUUGCCAUAUCCUGAGCGUGCCAAAGUACUGAUGUUCAGCUCUGAGUUGGCUGGAGCAAGGGCUGAAGGUAUUAUUUACAGUGGUAUGGAAGGGCAGGCAGCAAAUUCUUAAUCCAUGCCAAACAGUUUACGGGAGAUCUGGGACAGCACACACAGUAUGGAUGGGAAGCCUAGGUAACUAAUACAAUAAGGGACUUUGGAGAGAUUAUUCUUAAUGGUUUGCACCGUUGGUCAUUCUGUUGAAGAUCUUCAUUUGGAAGGAACUGAUGGAAGGGCAACACUGGCUGAAAUGCUUUCUUUCCUAAUCAUACCUACCCAUCUGCCCAACACUGUAUGGCUCUCUCAUGACAGAACUGUCUUACAGACCUACUUGCUCCUAUCUGUUUGUACUUCAUUUUUUGCUUUCUGUGCAGAUUUGUGUCCUGCCUGAUGUGAU
RNAcentral lists this long non-coding RNA (603 nucleotides) under Gallus gallus (chicken). The record is from RNAcentral. Lineage: Eukaryota; Metazoa; Chordata; Aves; Galliformes; Phasianidae.